This 527-nucleotide ribosomal RNA is filed under the name uncultured bacterium. RNAcentral describes it as "bacterial SSU rRNA". It matches the Rfam family "Bacterial small subunit ribosomal RNA", at positions 8 to 526 of the family's 1533-position model. The record is from RNAcentral.
AGAGUUUGAUCAUGGCUCAGAUUGAACGCUGGCGGCAGGCCUAACACAUGCAAGUCGAGCGGUAGCACAGGGAGCUUGCUCCUGGGUGACGAGCGGCGGACGGGUGAGUAAUGUCUGGGAAACUGCCUGAUGGAGGGGGAUAUCUACUGGAAACGGUAGCUAAUACCGCAUAACGUCGCAAGACCAAAGAGGGGGACCUUCGGGCCUCUUGCCAUCAGAUGUGCCCAGAUGGGAUUAGCUAGUAGGUGGGGUAACGGCUCACCUAGGCGACGAUCCCUAGCUGGUCUGAGAGGAUGACCAGCCACACUGGAACUGAGACACGGUCCAGACUCCUACGGGAGGCAGCAGUGGGGAAUCUUCGGCAAUGGACGAAAGUCUGACCGAGCAACGCCGCGUGUAUGAAGAAGGCCUUCGGGUUGUAAAGUACUUUCAGCGGGGAGGAAGGUGUUGAGGUUAAUAACCUCAGCAAUUGACGUUACCCGCAGAAGAAGCACCGGCUAACUCCGUGCCAGCCGCCGCGGUAAUUC